GUGAGGAAUAUUGGUCAAUGGGCGAGAGCCUGAACCAGCCAAGUCGCGUGAAGGAUGAAGGUUUUAUGAAUUGUAAACUUCUUUUGCAGGGGAAUAAAGUACGGUACGUGUACCGUUUUGUAUGUACUCUGCGAAUAAGGAUCGGCUAACUCCGUGCCAGCAGCCGCGGUAAUACGGAGGAUCCAAGCGUUAUCCGGAUUUAUUGGGUUUAAAGGGUGCGCAGGCGGGUUGAUAAGUCAGCGGUGAAAGUUUGCAGCUUAACUGUAAAAUUGCCGUUGAAACUGUCGAUCUUGAGUGCAAAUGAGGUAAGCGGAAUGUGUUGUGUAGCGGUGAAAUGCUUAGAUAUAACACAGAACACCGAUUGCGAAGGCAGCUUACUGGGAUGCAACUGACGCUCAUGCACGAAAGCGUGGGGAUCAAACAGGAUUAGAAACCCUGGUAGUCC
This 445-nucleotide ribosomal RNA is filed under the name uncultured bacterium. Its description in RNAcentral is "partial 16S ribosomal RNA". It matches the Rfam family "Bacterial small subunit ribosomal RNA", at positions 354 to 796 of the family's 1533-position model. The record is from RNAcentral.